Molecule: transfer RNA, 201 nt
Filed under: Salvelinus confluentus (bull trout)
Lineage: Eukaryota; Metazoa; Chordata; Actinopteri; Salmoniformes; Salmonidae
Description: partial 16S ribosomal RNA
Source: RNAcentral
UUUUGAUCUCUUGAGGAUGGGUUCGAAUCCCUUCUCUCUAGAAUUGAGGGGACUUGAACCCCUAUCAGCCACGCUAUCAAGGUGGUCCUUAAGCAUUCAGGCACAAUUCCUUGGAAUUAAAGUUGGGGAGGGAGGCCGGCUAUUGCAAUAGGAAGCGCGAGGUGUCACAGGACAAGUGCUAGGGUUAAUGGAAGGAAGCUU